AACCGGCUGCAGGAGCGCCCGCGAUGCCGCCCGCGGUGUCGCCCGACAUUCCGCCACAGGCUCCGUUUUCUGCCCUAGCUAGUUUUAUGAACAGCUCGUUAAGCUCACUGAUCCUUUCUGUUCACAGGGUGUAUUUACAUCAUUAUUAUGUUCGGAUUAACCUGAGAAUUGACGACCAAACAAUCUUUCAUUGCUUCAUGCAUAUAGAGCUUCCACAAAUAUGCUCGACAAUUGGCGGCCGAUUUUUCUUUCAAAAUUUCAUGCUUCCAGCUAACACUAAUAUCGCACCCGUUGUACUAUUUUCCAGCGUCUCACCUGGAUGCUUUCACAUUGUAAUUUUUUUGGCACCCGAGGACUAUGCUUCCAGUAUCAACAACAAUUCCGUUCCAUCAUCAUCUGUCCCCACGCAAAGAUUAUUAUCAAUAUGAUGUUUCCAGUAACCAUGCUUUGUAAGCUACGUUGCAGGGAUAUGGCGAGGAGGUGCCGUAUCGGUGCAGAAUACUGCACCGGGACGGGGAUACGCACAGAUACGCCUGGAUACGCGUAUCCCAAAGUAUCCCAUUUUUUGAAUUAAAAUAAAGAGCAAAAAAAUCAGAAAACGGCUGGGACACGCAUGAGAUACAUGAGCCAUACGUACGGGCCUGUUACAGCCCAUCGAAAGGCCUGCUCGAUGGAUGACAAAACAUCCUAAUCGCCUGUAAUCCUCUCGCCUCUCCUGGCAGUUGCCACAUCGCGAGGAAUCGAAGUCUCUGCGACGCAUCUAAGCUCCGUCUGGGCGCCGCCAGCAGCGCCUCGCCGCUCGUCUUCAAGUGUUCGUCAAUUGUCCAUCUAAAGAAUCUGGAAUGGCGUCUAGGUUGAACAUUUAAUCCUCUGUCGCUCGUUCUGGGAUCGGGUCUAGGAGUAACACCGCUGAUGAUUCAGAUCACCAUGAAUGAAAGUCUAUUUUCAUAUCCUCAAGGUACAGACAUAGACAUAUAUGGAGGCGACUGAUGCAUGCACUAUGAAGUGUGUGAUAACACUUGGAUCCGCCCUACAAUGAGGAUGACCACAAGCGAAGGGAAGCAUGUCUAUGGUCUGUAGGGAACAUACGGUGUUGACUUAAGGAGGCAUAGUGCGCACUGUUGGUGACUUGAACGAAAUAAAUUUGUAUCAUGUUUGAAAAUUAUUGUAUGAACGAACGAAGCAGGAACCAAACUUAUAUUCGGUUAGAAGCAAAUUAAUUUUACCAUGGAAGCACUUUUGUAUUGGAUGGAAGCAAAGUUUUCCUUAGUUGGAAGCUUGAUAAAAAAAUAUAUGCUGGGACGCAAAUUUAUGAUGGGGAAAGAAAUUCUUAGAUGCAAAAUUUUGUUACACGGA
Molecule: long non-coding RNA, 1356 nt
Organism: Triticum dicoccoides
Lineage: Eukaryota; Viridiplantae; Streptophyta; Magnoliopsida; Poales; Poaceae
Exons: 3
Source: RefSeq, a predicted model, not a curated record